RNAcentral lists this non-coding RNA (30 nucleotides) under Homo sapiens (human). Lineage: Eukaryota; Metazoa; Chordata; Mammalia; Primates; Hominidae. The record is from RNAcentral.
UNUGCUUCUCUGAGUGGAGCAAGCUAGUGC